UAUCUAUUUAUACAUAUAAUUAGAUUGAAAGAUGGUUCUGCUAUCACUUACAGAUGGGCCCGCGGCGCAUUAGCUAGUUGGUGAGGUAACGGCUCACCAAGGCGACGAUGCGUAGCCGACCUGAGAGGGUGAUCGGCCACACUGGGACUGAGACACGGCCCAGACUCCUACGGGAGGCAGCAGUAGGGAAUCUUCCGCAAUGGACGAAAGUCUGACGGAGCAACGCCGCGUGAGUGAUGAAGGUUUUCGGAUCGUAAAACUCUGUUGUUAGGGAAGAACAAGUAUCGGAGUAACUGCCGGUACCUUGACGGUACCUAACCAGAAAGCCACGGCUAACUACGUGCCAGCAGCCGCGGUAAUACGUAGGUGGCAAGCGUUGUCCGGAAUUAUUGGGCGUAAAGCGCGCGCAGGCGGUUCCUUAAGUCUGAUGUGAAAGCCCACGGCUCAACCGUGGAGGGUCAUUGGAAACUGGGGAACUUGAGUGCAGAAGAGGAAAGUGGAAUUCCAAGUGUAGCGGUGAAAUGCGUAGAGAUUUGGAGGAACACCAGUGGCGAAAGCGACUUUCUGGUCUGUAACUGACGCU
Molecule: ribosomal RNA, 583 nt
Filed under: Cytobacillus kochii
Lineage: Bacteria; Bacillati; Bacillota; Bacilli; Caryophanales; Bacillaceae
Description: bacterial SSU rRNA
Rfam family: Bacterial small subunit ribosomal RNA
Source: RNAcentral